CACGUAGGGUGCGAGCGUUGUCCGGAAUUAUUGGGCGUAAAGAGCUCGUAGGCGGUGUGUCGCGUCGGCCGUGAAAAACCUGCAGCUUAACUGUGGGCUUGCGGUCGAUACGGGGCAUCACUGGAGUUCGGCAGGGGAGACUGGAAUUCCUGGUGUAGCGGUGAAAUGCGCAGAUAUCAGGAGGAACACCGAUGGCGAAGGCAGAUCUCUGGGCCGUAACUGACGCUGAGGAGCGAAAAGCAUGGGGGAGCGAAACAGGG
This 260-nucleotide ribosomal RNA is filed under the name uncultured bacterium. RNAcentral's name for it is "partial 16S ribosomal RNA". It matches the Rfam family "Bacterial small subunit ribosomal RNA", at positions 524 to 777 of the family's 1533-position model. The record is from RNAcentral.